This 497-nucleotide ribosomal RNA is filed under the name uncultured bacterium. RNAcentral describes it as "partial 16S ribosomal RNA". It matches the Rfam family "Bacterial small subunit ribosomal RNA", at positions 28 to 507 of the family's 1533-position model. The record is from RNAcentral.
GAUGAACGCUGGCGGCGUGCCUAAUACAUGCAAGUCGAGCGAACAGACGAGGAGCUUGCUCCUCUGACGUUAGCGGCGGACGGGUGAGUAACACGUGGAUAACCUACCUAUAGGACUGGGAUAACUUCGGGAAACCGGAGCUAAUACCGGAUAAUAUAUUGAACCGCAUGGUUCAAUAGUGAAAGACGGUUUUGCUGUCACUUAUAGAUGGAUCCGCGCCGCAUUAGCUAGUUGGUAAGGUAACGGCUUACCAAGGCAACGAUGCGUAGCCGACCUGAGAGGGUGAUCGGCCACACUGGAACGGAGACACGGUCCAGACUCCUACGGGAGGCAGCAGUAGGGAAUCUUCCGCAAUGGGCGAAAGCCUGACGGAGCAACGCCGCGUGAGUGAUGAAGGUCUUCGGAUCGUAAAACUCUGUUAUUAGGGAAGAACAAAUGUGUAAGUAACUAUGCACGUCUUGACGGUACCUAAUCAGAAAGCCACGGCUAACUACGUG